RNAcentral lists this ribosomal RNA (406 nucleotides) under uncultured bacterium. Its description in RNAcentral is "partial 16S ribosomal RNA". It matches the Rfam family "Bacterial small subunit ribosomal RNA", at positions 28 to 526 of the family's 1533-position model. The record is from RNAcentral.
GACGAACGCUGGCGGCGUGCUUAACACAUGCAAGUCGAACGAGUGGCGAACGGGUGAGUAACGCAUCGGAACGUACCGAGUAAUGGGGGAUAACUGUCCGAAAGGACAGCUAAUACCGCAUAUUAUUCGAGCGGCCGAUGUCUGAUUAGCUGGUUGGCGGGGUAAAGGCACACCAAGGCGACGAUCAGUAGCGGGUCUGUGAGGAUGAACCGCCACAAUGGGACUGUGAAACGGACCAGACUCCUACGUGAGGCAGCAGUGGGGAAUUUUGGACAAUGGGCGCAAGCCUGAUCCAGCCAUGCCGCGUGUCUGAAGAAGGCCUUCGGGUUGUAAAGUACUUUCAGCGGGGAGGCGUUACCCGCAGAAGAAGCACCGGCUAACUCCGUGCCAGCAGCCGCGGUAAUUC